This 435-nucleotide unclassified non-coding RNA is filed under the name Hevea brasiliensis (rubber tree). Lineage: Eukaryota; Viridiplantae; Streptophyta; Magnoliopsida; Malpighiales; Euphorbiaceae. The record is from RNAcentral.
UAUUUUGGAAAGACAAACUGUAAGGUCUCUGCAUUCAGGAAAUUCAAAUGCUAUUUCAUGUUAUUGUGCAUUUUCUUAGCUAAAUUUUUUGUCCGUUACUAAAUUUCUCUUGAACAAUUCUUUAUGUCCUUGUUUGUUGGUUGGAUGUGCAAUUUCUAGAUUUGAUGCUGAAUAUGAAAAUUAUUGUACUUCUCCUGUUGGACUCAAUAUCCAAUGGCAAUAUGAUCAAUCUGAUAAAUUGUUUGAUUGGGCAUUUUAAUUUUCCUAUUCUCAUAGAAUGCAAGUUCCCAUUUACUGAAUUUGCGUUUUUUCAUCAUGUUUUUUCUAGUGAUAAAUGUAUAUGCUGAUUACUUUUUCUAUUUUCAUUUUUUCUAUUCAUGUCUAAAUUUUAGCUGGCCAUAUUCUUAAUACAGAUUUACCCUUUUGCAUGAAGAA